RNAcentral lists this ribosomal RNA (403 nucleotides) under uncultured bacterium. Its description in RNAcentral is "partial 16S ribosomal RNA". It matches the Rfam family "Bacterial small subunit ribosomal RNA", at positions 28 to 526 of the family's 1533-position model. The record is from RNAcentral.
GACGAACGCUGGCGGCGUGCCUAAUACAUGCAAGUCGAACGCAGUGGGGACGGGUGAGUAACACGUGGGUAACCUCCCAUCAGAGUGGAUAACACUUGGAAACAGGUGCUAAACCGAUACUGAUGGAUGGACCCGCGGUGCAUGAGCUAGUUGGUGAGGUAACGGAUCGCCAAGGCCACGAUGCAUAGCCGACGUGGGAGGAUGGCCAGCCACACUGGAACGUAGACACGGUCCAGACUCCUACGGGAGGCAGCAGUGGGGAAUAUUGCAGAAUGGGAGCAAGCCUGAUGCAGCCAUGCCGCGUGUAUGAAGAAGGACUUCGGGUUGUAAGACUUUCAGCGGGGAGGAGCGUUACCCGCAGAAGAAGCACCGGCUAACUCCGUGCCAGCAGCCGCGGUAAUAC